This 1346-nucleotide ribosomal RNA is filed under the name uncultured bacterium. RNAcentral describes it as "partial 16S ribosomal RNA". It matches the Rfam family "Bacterial small subunit ribosomal RNA", at positions 28 to 1381 of the family's 1533-position model. The record is from RNAcentral.
GACGAACGCUGGCGGCGUGCUUAACACAUGCAAGUCGAACGGAAAGGCCCUGCUUUUGUGGGGUGCUCGAGUGGCGAACGGGUGAGUAACACGUGAGUAACCUGCCCUUGACUUUGGGAUAACUUCAGGAAACUGGGGCUAAUACCGGAUAGGAGCUCCUGCUGCAUGGUGGGGGUUGGAAAGUUUCGGCGGUUGGGGAUGGACUCGCGGCUUAUCAGCUUGUUGGUGGGGUAGUGGCUUACCAAGGCUUUGACGGGUAGCCGGCCUGAGAGGGUGACCGGCCACAUUGGGACUGAGAUACGGCCCAGACUCCUACGGGAGGCAGCAGUGGGGAAUAUUGCACAAUGGGCGGAAGCCUGAUGCAGCAACGCCGCGUGCGGGAUGACGGCCUUCGGGUUGUAAACCGCUUUCGCCUGUGACGAAGCGUGAGUGACGGUAAUGGGUAAAGAAGCACCGGCUAACUACGUGCCAGCAGCCGCGGUGAUACGUAGGGUGCGAGCGUUGUCCGGAUUUAUUGGGCGUAAAGGGCUCGUAGGUGGUUGAUCGCGUCGGAAGUGUAAUCUUGGGGCUUAACCCUGAGCGUGCUUUCGAUACGGGUUGACUUGAGGAAGGUAGGGGAGAAUGGAAUUCCUGGUGGAGCGGUGGAAUGCGCAGAUAUCAGGAGGAACACCAGUGGCGAAGGCGGUUCUCUGGGCCUUUCCUGACGCUGAGGAGCGAAAGCGUGGGGAGCGAACAGGCUUAGAUACCCUGGUAGUCCACGCUGUAAACGGUGGGUACUAGGUGUGGGGUCCAUUCCACGGGUUCCGUGCCGUAGCUAACGCUUUAAGUACCCCGCCUGGGGAGUACGGCCGCAAGGCUAAAACUCAAAGGAAUUGACGGGGCCCCGCACAAGCGGCGGAGCAUGCGGAUUAAUUCGAUGCAACGCGUAGAACCUUACCUGGGUUUGACAUGGAUCGGGAGUGCUCAGAGAUGGGUGUGCCUCUUUUGGGGUCGGUUCACAGGUGGUGCAUGCCUGUCGUCAGCUCGUGUCGUGAGAUGUUGGGUUAAGUCCCGCAACGAGCGCAACCCUUGUUCACUGUUGCCAGCACGUUAUGGUGGGGACUCAGUGGAGACCGCCGGGGUCAACUCGGAGGAAGGUGGGGAUGACGUCAAGUCAUCAUGCCCCUUAUGUCCAGGGCUUCACGCAUGCUACAAUGGCUGGUACAGAGAGUGGCGAGCCUGUGAGGGUGAGCGAAUCUCGGAAAGCCGGUCUCAGUUCGGAUUGGGGUCUGCAACUCGACCUCAUGAAGUCGGAGUCGCUAGUAAUCGCAGAUCAGCAACGCUGCGGUGAAUAAGUGCCCGGGGCU